GAUGAACGCUGGCGGCGUGCCUAAUACAUGCAAGUCGAGCGAACGGACGAGAAGCUUGCUUUUCUGAUGUUAGCGGCGGACGGGUGAGUAACACGUGGAUAACCUACCUAUAAGACUGGGAUAACUUCGGGAAACCGGAGCUAAUACCGGAUAAUAUUUUGAACCGCAUGGUUCAAAAGUGAAAGACGGUCUUGCUGUCACUUAUAGAUGGAUCCGCGCUGCAUUAGCUAGUUGGUAAGGUAACGGCUUACCAAGGCAACGAUGCAUAGCCGACCUGAGAGGGUGAUCGGCCGCACUGGAACUGGGACACGGUCCAGACUCCUACGGGAGGCAGCAGUAGGGAAUCUUCCGCAAUGGGCGAAAGCCUGACGGAGCAACGCCACGUGAGUGAUGAAGGUCUUCGGAUCGUAAAACUCUGUUAUUAGGGAAGAACAUAUGUGUAAGUAACUGUGCACAGCUUGACGGUACCUAAUCAGAAAGCCACGGCUAACUACGUG
This 497-nucleotide ribosomal RNA is filed under the name uncultured bacterium. RNAcentral's name for it is "partial 16S ribosomal RNA". It matches the Rfam family "Bacterial small subunit ribosomal RNA", at positions 28 to 507 of the family's 1533-position model. The record is from RNAcentral.